This is a non-coding RNA of Acanthosepion pharaonis, 110 nucleotides long. NCBI's taxonomy places the organism in Eukaryota, Metazoa, Mollusca, Cephalopoda, Sepiida, Sepiidae. The record is from the annotation of a GenBank genome assembly.
ACAGUCACAUCACGUUGAAACACCGGUUCACGUACGAUCACCGAAUUUAAGCAAUGUCAAGCCUGGUCACUACUUAGAUGGAUGACCGCUUGGGAAUACAAGGUGCUAUA